CCUACGUGUGGCAGCAGUGAGGAAUAUUGGUCAAUGGGCGAGAGCCUGAACCAGCCAAGUCGCGUGAAGGAUGACGGCCCUACGGGUUGUAAACUUCUUUUGUCAGGGAGCAAUUGGGUCCACGCGUGCGCUUAGCGAGAGUACCUGAAGAAAAAGCAUCGGCUAACUCCGUGCCAGCAGCCGCGGUAAUACGGCGGGUGCAAGCUGUGUCCCGAAUCAUUGGGCGUAAAGAGUUCGUAGGCGGCAUGUAAAGUCAGGUGUGAAACGGGCAGGGUCAACCUGUGUAUGGCACUUGAUACUUGCGAGCUGGAAUGGGGUAGAGGUAAAGGGAAUUCCUGGUGUAGCGGUGAAAUGCUUAGAUAGCAGGAGGAACAUCGGUGGAGUAAGCGCUUUACUGGGCCGUAAUUGACGCUGAGGAACGAAAGCCAGGGUAGCAAAUGGGAUUAGAUACCCGAGUAGUC
This 461-nucleotide ribosomal RNA is filed under the name uncultured bacterium. RNAcentral's name for it is "partial 16S ribosomal RNA". It matches the Rfam family "Bacterial small subunit ribosomal RNA", at positions 338 to 795 of the family's 1533-position model. The record is from RNAcentral.